This 467-nucleotide ribosomal RNA is filed under the name uncultured bacterium. Its description in RNAcentral is "bacterial SSU rRNA". It matches the Rfam family "Bacterial small subunit ribosomal RNA", at positions 331 to 794 of the family's 1533-position model. The record is from RNAcentral.
CCAGACUCCUACGGGAGGCAGCAGUGAGGAAUAUUGGUCAAUGGGCGAGAGCCUGAACCAGCCAAGUCGCGUGAGGGAAGACGGUCCUAUGGAUUGUAAACCUCUUUUGCCGGGGAGCAAGCGUGCGUUCGUGAACGCGCGUCGAGAGUACCCGGAGAAAAAGCAUCGGCUAACUCCGUGCCAGCAGCCGCGGUAAUACGGAGGAUGCGGGCGUUAUCCGGAUUUAUUGGGUUUAAAGGGUGCGUAGGCGGGAUGCCAAGUCAGCGGUAAAAAUGCGGUGCUCAACGCCGUCGAGCCGUUGAAACUGGCGUUCUUGAGUGGGCGAGAAGUAUGCGGAAUGCGUGGUGUAGCGGUGAAAUGCAUAGAUAUCACGCAGAACUCCGAUUGCGAAGGCAGCAUACCGGCGCCCUACUGACGCUGAGGCACGAAAGCGUGGGUAUCGAACAGGAUUAGAUACCCGCGUAACA